CUCCCCCAGAGCCAAGCGCCAGAAGAUACAUAAUGUUGCUGUCCAAUGUGAUGUCAACCCGAAGGCGAACGGUUCCCCGUCCUCUAUAGGUGACAUGCAGGUUGGAAAAGAGAAGCAUUUCAAGCAUUCCCCUGCCAGGCAUUUGGCCAUGAAGCCACUUAUGACUUUGGAGGUCCAGUCAUCAGAGUGUGAAGAGAUCCUUCCAAAUGCCUUGCGCCCAUGUUCCAGGAAGGCCAAGCAAGCAGCUCUUUCUGCUCUGCAGGAAGAGAAGGAAUCCUGGAGCGAUGAGGACGAGAUCUUCAUGGACCAGCAAUCAGAGUUGUCAGUUGGUACCAGCACUUCUGGGGCUAAGAAGAAG
RNAcentral lists this long non-coding RNA (358 nucleotides) under Notechis scutatus (mainland tiger snake). RNAcentral describes it as "lncRNA (ENSNSUG00000000085.1)". Lineage: Eukaryota; Metazoa; Chordata; Lepidosauria; Squamata; Elapidae. The record is from RNAcentral.